RNAcentral lists this ribosomal RNA (174 nucleotides) under uncultured delta proteobacterium. RNAcentral describes it as "partial 16S ribosomal RNA". It matches the Rfam family "Bacterial small subunit ribosomal RNA", at positions 355 to 519 of the family's 1533-position model. Lineage: Bacteria; Deltaproteobacteria. The record is from RNAcentral.
UGGGGAAUCUUGCGCAAUGGGGGAAACCCUGACGCAUNAACAGCCGCGUGGGUGAUGAAGGCUUUCGGGUCGUAAAGCCCUGUCAGGUGGGAAGAAACAUGCCGAUGCAAAUAACAUCGGUAUUUGACGGUACUACCGAAGGAAGCACCGGCUAACACCGUGCCAACAGCCGCG